This 1772-nucleotide long non-coding RNA is filed under the name Macaca mulatta (Rhesus monkey). RNAcentral describes it as "lncRNA (ENSMMUG00000049810.1)". Lineage: Eukaryota; Metazoa; Chordata; Mammalia; Primates; Cercopithecidae. The record is from RNAcentral.
GAGUGUGAGAGCGAGAACAGCCCCGCAGGUCCCGAGGCGCUGGCUGGGGACACUGCCGCGGAAAGUUCCCAGUCCCCAGCCGCAGAUCUGCAGAGUUGAAAUGAAAUGUUUUGAGCUCUUCAAGCUGACUCGUCAGAAUCCUGGAGCCUUUUAAAAAAUGACGAAUUGGAAGAAAAUAAUUACUUUAUCAAUAACCAGACUCCACCAGGAUUGACCAAGAUGUUUGUUCCUGGCACUUGUCAUUCUCAGCAAGCACAGCACAGAGAGCAAAUACAAAAGGCCCAAAAUGCAAUGCAUCUUUUAUGGGUAAGCAUGAAAUAGGUUUAUCUGUGGUGGUGUAGUCCAACUUGAGAGGUGGGAAGACAAGGCUUUAGAACCAAUGCCACAAACAUUGUGUUAGUUUUUGUUCAUCUGUAGUAAAAAGUGAAUGCUGACUAGAAUUUCUGGGAAGAUUUAUAGCAUAUGCAAUUUUAAGUAUUCAGGUAACUCUUUAGUUACUGUGUUUUAAUCGUUGAAGCCCAUCAGAGAACAAACCAAUCCUUGUUCUUGGGAUUGAAAAUACUAGAUAUCCCAUCAAGCACCAUUAUCUUGAUAUUUAAAGUAGAAAUAUGCUUCUCCAUUUUGUUUAACCUAGUUAAUAUUGGGGUGGCUUCACAUUUCAGUGCCUUUUCAGUUAUCAAGCAGGGCCAACAUUUUGUUAAACUCUAAACAGUGAAUUAAAAGCACUGAAUGAGCUGAAGCAACCCUCUAAUGCAAAAUGACAAAUUGCACUUAAGCGAUACAUGAACAAAAAAUGAUUUAUGGAUUUUUACAAUGGUCCGAGCAAAUGAAAGCAACAUGAAUUAUACAUCCUAAUGCUCACAAUAUCAUUUUCUAAUAAUACUGUUUUAGUUCAGAUGCUAUACUCUGCUCCUUUCUGUAACAGAAAUUAAUCAAUAAGAGGUCCAGGAAUGUUUUUAAAUUGGGCACUGGUUUGUGAUACUGAUUCCAAAGUGUGUGUGUGUAUGUAUACAUAUGCAUAUAUAUAUGUGCGUGCAUACAUUUUUAUUUUGGUUUUGGGGAGGUGGGUUGAUGACGAAUAUUGAACAUGCAUUCUUGUCAGAUUCGUCACAUAUUGUGUCUUUUGGUAGUAAAUAGUCCUUUGAAAACUUUUGUUUUUUCCAUACCAUCUUUAAGAAUGUGAAUAAAUAGAUCUCAUUCAAAAUGACAGUCUUUAUUGCCACAUGAAUUCUUUCUUUAUAAAUUAAAAUGCAUUACCUCAUCUUACUCUUUUCUUCCAUUACUUUGGAUAUUAAAACAUCUUAUUUCUCCAAAAUGUCUCUUAACCUUUUCAUAUUUGUUUUAUCCUCUCUUUUUCAGAUCAUUGUUUUAUACUUUAGCGCAUUAGAAACAUACCUGGGCUAGUGAAAAGGUCAUGGCACCUUAGUUUUGUAGCCUUAGUAGAUAAAAUAUACCCUAUGGGUUAUCUUAAAUUACAGAAAAAAAUCAGUCAAAUAAAAUUUUAUGUGCUGUUUGUGUUUUGAGUCUGAAAAAUACAAAAAUCUAGUUUCCUUUGUGUUAUGAUGAUUGACUACUCCUAGCAUUUUUAUUUAACCAUUUGUGGUUUGUAUAAGUGGAUAAUUUUUGGUAGGUAUGUAGAUUUUAAGUGAAGGUGGUGUCUGUGCUGUGUUGCAUCCUCAACCACAGGAAACUGCUAAUCACCCAGAGGCCUCUAAAGUCACAUUAUUAGGCUUAAUCUUAAUUAUCCGGGUUUAUUAAAAAAAAAAAAAAAA